GUGGGGAAUAUUGGACAAUGGGGGGAACCCUGAUCCAGCCAUGCCGCGUGUGUGAAGAAGGCCUUUUGGUUGUAAAGCACUUUAAGCGAGGAGGAGGCUACCGAGAUUAAUACUCUUGGAUAGUGGACGUUACUCGCAGAAUAAGCACCGGCUAACUCUGUGCCAGCAGCCGCGGUAAUACAGAGGGUGCAAGCGUUAAUCGGAUUUACUGGGAGUAAAGCGCGCGUAGGUGGCCAAUUAAGUCAAAUGUGAAAUACCCGAGCUUAACUUGGGAAUUGCAUUCGAUACUGGUUGGCUAGAGUAUGGGAGAGGAUGGUAGAAUUCCAGGUGUAGCGGUGAAAUGCGUAGAGAUCUGGAGGAAUACCGAUGGCGAAGGCAGCCAUCUGGCCUAAUACUGACACUGAGGUGCGAAAGCAUGGGGAGCAAACAGGAUUAGAUUCCCUGGUAGUCC
Molecule: ribosomal RNA, 451 nt
Filed under: uncultured bacterium
Lineage: Bacteria
Description: partial 16S ribosomal RNA
Rfam family: Bacterial small subunit ribosomal RNA
Source: RNAcentral